Molecule: ribosomal RNA, 425 nt
Filed under: uncultured bacterium
Lineage: Bacteria
Description: bacterial SSU rRNA
Rfam family: Bacterial small subunit ribosomal RNA
Source: RNAcentral
GGGGAAUAUUGGACAAUGGGCGAAAGCCUGAUCCAGCAAUGCCGCGUGUGUGAAGAAGGCCUGCGGGUUGUAAAGCACUUUAAGCAGGGAAGAAAGGCGGGAGGUUAAUACCCUUUUGCACUGACGUUACCUGCAGAAUAAGCACCGGCUAACUCCGUGCCAGCAGCCGCGGUAAUACGGAGGGUGCGAGCGUUAAUCGGAAUUACUGGGCGUAAAGCGCGCGUAGGCGGUUUGUUAAGUCAGCGGUGAAAGCCCCGGGCUUAACCUGGGAAUGGCAGUUGAUACUGGCGAGCUUGAGUGUGGUAGAGGGGUGUGGAAUUUCCGGUGUAGCAGUGAAAUGCGUAGAGAUCGGAAGGAACACCAGUGGCGAAGGCGGCACACUGGACCAACACUGACGCUGAGGUGCGAAAGCGUGGGGAGCAAAC